Molecule: ribosomal RNA, 508 nt
Filed under: Escherichia coli
Lineage: Bacteria; Pseudomonadati; Pseudomonadota; Gammaproteobacteria; Enterobacterales; Enterobacteriaceae
Description: bacterial SSU rRNA
Rfam family: Bacterial small subunit ribosomal RNA
Source: RNAcentral
UGUGAAAUCCCCGGGCUCAACCUGGGAACUGCAUCUGAUACUGGCAAGCUUGAGUCUCGUAGAGGGGGGUAGAAUUCCAGGUGUAGCGGUGAAAUGCGUAGAGAUCUGGAGGAAUACCGGUGGCGAAGGCGGCCCCCUGGACGAAGACUGACGCUCAGGUGCGAAAGCGUGGGGAGCAAACAGGAUUAGAUACCCUGGUAGUCCACGCCGUAAACGAUGUCGACUUGGAGGUUGUGCCCUUGAGGCGUGGCUUCCGGAGCUAACGCGUUAAGUCGACCGCCUGGGGAGUACGGCCGCAAGGUUAAAACUCAAAUGAAUUGACGGGGGCCCGCACAAGCGGUGGAGCAUGUGGUUUAAUUCGAUGCAACGCGAAGAACCUUACCUGGUCUUGACAUCCACAGAACUUUCCAGAGAUGGAUUGGUGCCUUCGGGAACUGUGAGACAGGUGCUGCAUGGCUGUCGUCAGCUCGUGUUGUGAAAUGUUGGGUUAAGUCCCGCAACGAGCGCA